CUUUUGUAGAAUGAACCGGCGAGUUACGAUUUGAUGCAAGGUUAAGCAGUAAAUGUGGAGCCGUAGCGAAAGCGAGUCUGAAUAGGGCGUUUAGUAUUUGGUCGUAGACCCGAAACCAGGUGAUCUACCCUUGGUCAGGUUGAAGUUCAGGUAACACUGAAUGGAGGACCGAACCGACUUACGUUGAAAAGUGAGCGGAUGAACUGAGGGUAGCGGAGAAAUUCCAAUCGAACCUGGAGAUAGCUGGUUCUCUCCGAAAUAGCUUUAGGGCUAGCCUCAAGUGAUGAUUAUUGGAGGUAGAGCACUGUUUGGACGAGGGGCCCCUCUCGGGUUACCGAAUUCAGACAAACUCCGAAUGCCAAUUAAUUUAACUUGGGAGUCAGAACAUGGGUGAUAAGGUCCGUGUUCGAAAGGGAAACAGCCCAGACCACCAGCUAAGGUCCCAAAAUAUAUGUUAAGUGGAAAAGGAUGUGGCGUUGCCCAGACAACUAGGAUGUUGGCUUAGAAGCAGCCAUCAUUUAAAGAGUGCGUAAUAGCUCACUAGUCGAGUGACACUGCGCCGAAAAUGUACCGGGGCUAAACAUAUUACCGAAGCUGUGGAUUGUCCUUUGGACAAUGGUAGGAGAGCGUUCUAAGGGCGUUGAAGCAUGAUCGUAAGGACAUGUGGAGCGCUUAGAAGUGAGAAUGCCGGUGUGAGUAGUGAAAGACGGGUGAGAAUCCCGUCCACCGAUUGACUAAGGUUUCCAGAGGAAGGCUCGUCCGCUCUGGGUUAGUCGGGUCCUAAGCUGAGGCCGACAGGCGUAGGCGAUGGAUAACAGGUUGAUAUUCCUGUACCACCUAUAAUCGUUUUAAUCGAUGGGGGGACGCAGUAGGAUAGGCGAAGCGUGCGAUUGGAUUGCACGUCUAAGCAGUAAGGCUGAGUAUUAGGCAAAUCCGGUACUCGUUAAGGCUGAGCUGUGAUGGGGAGAAGACAUUGUGUCUUCGAGUCGUUGAUUUCACACUGCCGAGAAAAGCCUCUAGAUAGAAAAUAGGUGCCCGUACCGCAAACCGACACAGGUAGUCAAGAUGAGAAUUCUAAGGUGAGCGAGCGAACUCUCGUUAAGGAACUCGGCAAAAUGACCCCGUAACUUCGGGAGAAGGGGUGCUCUUUAGGGUUAACGCCCAGAAGAGCCGCAGUGAAUAGGCCCAAGCGACUGUUUAUCAAAAACACAGGUCUCUGCUAAACCGUAAGGUGAUGUAUAGGGGCUGACGCCUGCCCGGUGCUGGAAGGUUAAGAGGAGUGGUUAGCUUCUGCGAAGCUACGAAUCGAAGCCCCAGUAAACGGCGGCCGUAACUAUAACGGUCCUAAGGUAGCGAAAUUCCUUGUCGGGUAAGUUCCGACCCGCACGAAAGGCGUAACGAUUUGGGCACUGUCUCAACGAGAGACUCGGUGAAAUCAUAGUACCUGUGAAGAUGCAGGUUACCCGCGACAGGACGGAAAGACCCCGUGGAGCUUUACUGUAGCCUGAUAUUGAAAUUCGGCACAGCUUGUACAGGAUAGGUAGGAGCCUUUGAAACGUGAGCGCUAGCUUACGUGGAGGCGUUGGUGGGAUACUACCCUAGCUGUGUUGGCUUUCUAACCCGCACCACUUAUCGUGGUGGAAGACAGUGUCAGGCGGGCAGUUUGACUGGGGCGGUCGCCUCCUAAAAGGUAACGGAGGCGCUCAAAGGUUCCCUCAGAAUGGUUGGAAAUCAUUCAUAGAGUGUAAAGGCAUAAGGGAGCUUGACUGCGAGACCUACAAGUCGAGCAGGGUCGAAAGACGGACUUAGUGAUCCGGUGGUUCCGCAUGGAAGGGCCAUCGCUCAACGGAUAAAAGCUACCCCGGGGAUAACAGGCUUAUCUCCCCCAAGAGUUCACAUCGACGGGGAGGUUUGGCACCUCGAUGUCGGCUCAUCGCAUCCUGGGGCUGUAGUCGGUCCCAAGGGUUGGGCUGUUCGCCCAUUAAAGCGGUACGCGAGCUGGGUUCAGAACGUCGUGAGACAGUUCGGUCCCUAUCCGUCGUGGGCGUAGGAAAUUUGAGAGGAGCUGUCCUUAGUACGAGAGGACCGGGAUGGACAUACCUCUGGUGUACCAGUUGUCGUGCCAACGGCAUAGCUGGGUAGCUAUGUGUGGACGGGAUAAGUGCUGAAAGCAUCUAAGCAUGAAGCCCCCCUCAAGAUGAGAUUUCCCAACUUCGGUUAUAAGAUCCCUCAAAGAUGAUGAGGUUAAUAGGUUCGAGGUGGAAGCAUGGUGACAUGUGGAGCUGACGAAUACUAAUCGAUCGAAGACUUAAUCAA
Molecule: ribosomal RNA, 2316 nt
Filed under: Staphylococcus aureus
Lineage: Bacteria; Bacillati; Bacillota; Bacilli; Caryophanales; Staphylococcaceae
Description: partial 23S ribosomal RNA
Rfam family: Bacterial large subunit ribosomal RNA
Source: RNAcentral